AACGAACGCUGGCGGCAGGCCUAACACAUGCAAGUCGAACGCUCGUAGCAAUACGGGAGUGGCAGACGGGUGAGUAACGCGUGGGAACGUACCUUUCGGUUCGGAAUAACCCGGGGAAAC
Molecule: ribosomal RNA, 120 nt
Filed under: uncultured bacterium
Lineage: Bacteria
Description: partial 16S ribosomal RNA
Rfam family: Bacterial small subunit ribosomal RNA
Source: RNAcentral